AGCAGGGGGCAACCCCGCCAAAAAAAGCUGAACCGGCAGCGUCGAAUAGCGCGCGGCCGGCAAAC
Regulatory RNA element from Brenneria goodwinii, 65 nucleotides. It matches the Rfam family "DnaX ribosomal frameshifting element". Rfam says of the family: This family represents a ribosomal frameshifting element found in the mRNA of the dnaX gene in E. coli. The dnaX gene has two encoded products tau and gamma which are produced in a 1:1 ratio. The gamma protein is synthesised due to programmed frameshifting and is shorter than tau. Lineage: Bacteria; Pseudomonadati; Pseudomonadota; Gammaproteobacteria; Enterobacterales; Pectobacteriaceae. The record is from Rfam.